Molecule: transfer RNA, 57 nt
Filed under: Camelus bactrianus (Bactrian camel)
Lineage: Eukaryota; Metazoa; Chordata; Mammalia; Artiodactyla; Camelidae
Also listed under: 2 other names
Rfam family: tRNA
About the family: Transfer RNA (tRNA) molecules are approximately 80 nucleotides in length.
Source: Rfam by way of RNAcentral
UAGCUCAGCGGCAGAGUAUGUGCUUAGCAUGCAUGAGGUCCUGGGUUCAAUCCCCAG